Molecule: unclassified non-coding RNA, 972 nt
Filed under: Bombus terrestris (buff-tailed bumblebee)
Lineage: Eukaryota; Metazoa; Arthropoda; Insecta; Hymenoptera; Apidae
Description: misc RNA ENSBTSG00005025128.1
Source: RNAcentral
CUCGAGACGCGUCGAUCCGGUGAAUCCCACGUCGGACGACGGGAUGACGUCCUUCAAUUUACGACGUGCUCGUACAGUCCAUGAUCUUCGCUUCUUCGAGUCUCCUCUGUCUCACUGUGCUACAUUCGACGUGGGGCGACGCGGCUUUUAAGGCUUUCUCACUCGGGUUCGAAUGCACGUCAUUACCUGCCGUCAACGCUAGGAUAUGUUGGACAUAUCUAAGAGGGAGGAUGACGUAUGUGGAAAGGGUGAGCAAGGAGGACUCCAGAAGAUCCGCACUGACAGGAUUCUGUAAAUAAGACAGCACGCAAGAGAUAAUGGAUGCCAUCGGUACAUGAUGGAUGCAGAACUAUACGGUGUGAGAUGUUGCAACUCGAUGUCACAAGAUAUGGACGACGCCUCGCAGUCGACGAAUGGCAGACGCGCGCGAACCAAGGAUACCGCGAUUCUGUGAUCGGAAUCGGCAGGCGCCGAGAUGACGGUCGCGAAGAAAUUGCUGAGAAAAUAGAAAGAGAAGAACGGCGAUAUUGAUGGAGAGCAAGUCUCGAUGGUAGCAGUGGGAGGAUUGUAUUUUUACCUUGACGACAGCGGAAAAUGAGAAAUAGCGGAGGGCCAACAGAAGAACGCUCUACCAUUCCUAUGCAUACCUCUACUUUUACCACGCCGACUAUGCAACCAGAGUAUUCCUCGAUCGUGAAAAUAGACCAAUCUUAUCGUGUAUGAAAUGUUCGGAAUAAUCGGACUGUGGAUAUUCAUUCGUUCGUGAGGAUUUAAGACGUGUAACAAUGUAGAGAAUCUGUACGAUAUAUAGAAAUUUACAAAAUAUUUAAAGUUAAAUGUUUCAUAAAAAUGUGAAUAAAUAUCCGCAGUCUAGUGACAACGCCAUAGAUCGAACCGAUGCGACAGUACUUUCUCUGCGAGCAAAGGAAAGAAUUAAAUCAGUAUCCGUUAGAAUUUUUCGAGAGAGCGAAG